AUAAAUAAAAUAUCGUGCCAAAGACCGUAAGCGUCGAAAGACUUAAAUUUGCUUGCCGAGGUUACAAAGUAGAUUGAACUUUUAUAAUGUUCUCUAUGCUUUUGGCAUAGAGAAUUUUGUUUUUU
This 125-nucleotide small RNA is filed under the name human gut metagenome. RNAcentral describes it as "Ribosomal protein L10 leader". It matches the Rfam family "Ribosomal protein L10 leader". From Rfam's summary of the family: This family is a putative r-protein leader autoregulatory structure found in B. subtilis and other low-GC Gram-positive bacteria. The record is from RNAcentral.